This 497-nucleotide ribosomal RNA is filed under the name uncultured bacterium. Its description in RNAcentral is "partial 16S ribosomal RNA". It matches the Rfam family "Bacterial small subunit ribosomal RNA", at positions 28 to 507 of the family's 1533-position model. The record is from RNAcentral.
GAUGAACGCUGGCGGCGUGCCUAAUACAUGCAAGUCGAGCGAACGGACGAGAAGCUUGCUUCUCUGAUGUUAGCGGCGGACGGGUGAGUAACACGUGGCUAACCUACCUAUAAGACUGGGAUAACUUCGGGAAACCGGUACUAAUACCGGAUGAUAUUUUGAACAGCAUGGUUCAAAAGUGAAAGACGGUCUUGCUGUCACUUAUAGAUGGAUCCACGCGGCAUUAGCUAGUUGGUAAGGUAACGGCUUACCAAGUCAACGAUGCAUAGCAGACCUGAGAGGGUGAUCCGCCACACGUGUGCUGGGACGCGGUCCAGACUCCUGCGGGAGGCAGCAGUAGGGAAUCUUCCGCAAUGGGCGAAGGCCUAACGGAGCAACGCCGCGUGAGUGAUGAGGGUCUUCGGAGCGUGAAACUCUGUUAUUAGGGAAGAAGAUAUGUGUAAGUAACUGUGCACAUCUUGACGGUACCUAAACAGAAAGCCACGGCUAACUACGUG